GCGGCCUCUCCCACGUGGAAGGCAGCGACGACUGGGGUGAUGAGUUAGGAGGACUGGGUGUUAUACCCUUCAGUCAUUCCCUCAUCCCUCUCAGAGACUCUCGUCCACUCGUCCUCACCGAUCUGGACAUGUGGGACAGCAGGUCUCACUUUAAAUCUCAGCACCUCCGCUAAUGGCAGAGACAGUGGCUUCAGCAGACAGAGUGACCCAGGGCUGGGUAAAAGAAGAUGGCAGUCGAUGUCUCGCCUGGCCCCCGAGGGCGCACCCCGGUCCCUCUCCCCUGUCUCCCCAGGGGUUGAGCUGAGAGCAGCCCUGGAAGAGAGUGGCUUUAGGCGAGCAGAGCUGGUGCAGAGGCUGCGGGAGGCCCAUGGACGUCUGGACAGCCAGACAGACCUGCUGAAGAACAGAGACGCACAGCCGCAGCACAGCAGUAGUACUGCACAGCUGCUGGAGACGAAACACAAGCAGCUGGCAGAUGCAGUGAGUGCUCUUGAGCAGGAGAAGGAGGCAGCUGAGUUGAGCCGGUUUGAGGAAAGUCGACGUCGAGGAGAACUGCAAGACAAGGUUCUUCGACUGGAGAUGGACAUGUUGAAGAUGAGGUCAAACCUGAGUGUUAUCAAACCUGCGGCCCCAAGAACUAACAACAACCCACUCAGCAGGACCUCACCUGUUACACAACAAGACUUGUUCAGAGAGGAAAAGCACAGAGCAGAGAGAGAGCUGUCCAGACUGAGAGAGGCCCUCAGAGAGGCCGAGGAGAGAGCAGAGGCCCUGGAGACAGAGAGAGACCUUCAGCAACUACACACCUCUAAAGAGGCUCAGAGGACUGUGUUGAACCAGACAGAGGAAGUGAACCAGAGACUGGGUCGGGCCUUGCAGACCCACAGUGAGCUGAAGGACCAGCUGAGUGAGGCACGCAGUAAGCUGGGUCAGGCCACUCUGGAGAGGGACCUUCUGACCUCCAAGGUGUUGCGGCUGGAGGACAGUGUGGAGGACCUGAAGAUCAAGCUGACCGGGGCCAUGUCUGACAAGGACCGCUUACUGCAGGAGAAGGCAGACCUGCACCAGCAUGCUCAGGAUCUGGAGCUGCAGUUGGAGAGGGCCCAGAGAGGCAGGGAAGGCUACACAGACCAGGUGUGUGAGCUCAGCAACCAGCUGGCUGAGGCCAAGGCUCACACCAACAGGCAGGGGCAGGAGACUGUGCAGAUGAAACAGGAACUUCUGACUGUGACAGAGAUGAAUGAAAAGAUGACAUCAGAGCUAGAGAUGGUCAGACAGAGGCUGGAGUCCUCAUUGGCUCAGCUGCAUGAGCUGGGGGCGGAGAGAGUCAUCCACACCAAUCAGAUCGCAGCUCUGGAGACGGAGCGCUCGCAGCUGAUUGGAGAGAAGCAGGAGUUGACGAGUGCUAUUGGACGGGAUGGAAGACAGGAGGAGGAAGUGACAGAGUUGAGGGAGAAUUGUUGUCAGCUCAGUGAAUCCCAGGAUGCCUUGGAGUCAGAGAACCAGAGGCUGCAUGAAUGCUGCCUGACCUUGGAGGCAGAGCUCCUGGAAAAGGAGGAGGGGCUGUGUCAGAAGGGGGAGGAGCUGCAGAGGUUGGAGGCUGAGUCGGCUCAGA
Long non-coding RNA from Oncorhynchus tshawytscha (Chinook salmon), 1615 nucleotides. NCBI's taxonomy places the organism in Eukaryota, Metazoa, Chordata, Actinopteri, Salmoniformes, Salmonidae. The record is from Ensembl.